Paramuricea clavata is the source of this 428-nucleotide non-coding RNA. The record is from the annotation of a GenBank genome assembly. Lineage: Eukaryota; Metazoa; Cnidaria; Anthozoa; Malacalcyonacea; Plexauridae.
AAAUACCAAAAUGGCCGACGACUGCAACGUCAAAGCAUAAUUGCAUAAAUAAAGUUGUAAAGAGCAAUUUCAGUAGUUGAAGUCAAAUAAAAGUGGAUACUAAUUGUCUACAAGUCAUUCUGAUUAUCUAGAGAUGGCAAUAAUAUCCGAUUUUCUUAUUUUUGGGUAAUUUAUUAUAAAUAUGAUUCACAUUUGUAUUUGAACAAUGAAACAUUCUGAUGGAAUAAUAUCUGGUUUUCGAAUGUUGUUGUGUUCCUUUUGAAUUUUUACUUGUUCAGAGUUCAAUAUAAUGGUGAUUUUAUUUAACAGAACUCUUUUGGUGAAUGCUUGCGCUGUUCUUAACUUUAAACUGUAAGUAUGUGCACGGUAAGAAGUAUGAACAGAUCUUACAGAUGAACUAUGAAGUGGUAUUUUAUUAUAAUGUAGAA